UAGGGAAUCUUCCACAAUGGACGAAAGUCUGAUGGAGCAACGCCGCGUGAGUGAAGAAGGGUUUCGGCUCGUAAAACUCUGUUGUUAAAGAAGAACAUAUCUGAGAGUAACUGUUCAGGUAUUGACGGUAUUUAACCAGAAANCCACGGCUAACUACGUGCCAC
Molecule: ribosomal RNA, 164 nt
Filed under: uncultured bacterium
Lineage: Bacteria
Description: partial 16S rRNA
Rfam family: Bacterial small subunit ribosomal RNA
Source: RNAcentral